UGCAGAAUCCCGUGAACCAUCGAGUCUUUGAACGCAAGUUGCGCCCAAGGCGAUCACGCUGAGGGCAUGCCUGCCUGGGUGUCUCG
RNAcentral lists this ribosomal RNA (86 nucleotides) under Utricularia salwinensis. RNAcentral describes it as "partial 5.8S ribosomal RNA". It matches the Rfam family "5.8S ribosomal RNA", at positions 73 to 154 of the family's 154-position model. From Rfam's summary of the family: 5.8S ribosomal RNA (5.8S rRNA) is a component of the large subunit of the eukaryotic ribosome. The record is from RNAcentral. Lineage: Eukaryota; Viridiplantae; Streptophyta; Magnoliopsida; Lamiales; Lentibulariaceae.